UGGGGAAUAUUGGACAAUGGGCGCAAGCCUGAUCCAGCCAUGCCGCGUGAGUGAUGAAGGCCUUAGGGUUGUAAAGCUCUUUCGCCGACGAAGAUAAUGACGGUAGUCGGAGAAGAAGCCCCGGCUAACUUCGUGCCAGCAGCCGCGGUAAUACGAAGGGGGCUAGCGUUGUUCGGAAUCACUGGGCGUAAAGCGCACGUAGGCGGAUUGUUAAGUCAGGGGUGAAAGCCUGGAGCUCAACUCCAGAACUGCCCUUGAUACUGGCAAUCUCGAGUCCGGAAGAGGUAAGUGGAACUGCGAGUGUAGAGGUGAAAUUCGUAGAUAUUCGCAAGAACACCAGUGGCGAAGGCGGCUUACUGGUCCGGUACUGACGCUGAGGUGCGAAAGCGUGGGGAGCAAAACAGGAUUAGAUACCCUGGUAGUCCACGCCGUAAACGAUGGAGGCUAGCCGUUGGCGAGCAUGCUCGUCAGUGGCGCAGCUAACGCAUUAAGCCUCCCGCCUGGGGGAGUACGGUCGCAAGAUUAAAACUCAAAUGAAUUGACGGGAUCAUAGCUGUUUUCCCU
RNAcentral lists this ribosomal RNA (564 nucleotides) under uncultured bacterium. RNAcentral's name for it is "partial 16S ribosomal RNA". It matches the Rfam family "Bacterial small subunit ribosomal RNA", at positions 355 to 940 of the family's 1533-position model. The record is from RNAcentral.